Molecule: long non-coding RNA, 1109 nt
Organism: Oncorhynchus keta (chum salmon)
Lineage: Eukaryota; Metazoa; Chordata; Actinopteri; Salmoniformes; Salmonidae
Exons: 2
Source: RefSeq, a predicted model, not a curated record
ACGAAGUAAACUGUCUGUCCAAUAGACAAUAUUUGCAUUGCUAAAGGUUUUCCAUUGUGAUGUGCAGCAGCUGGCGAGUUUAUUUGGCCACGAGGGAUGCGAGUCUCACCCAGAAAUCACAUCACUGAAAACUUAACAGACACGGGUUUGGUCUUGAAGAAAAAUGAACAUGAGGUUGAAAAUUGGCGGAAUUACCCUUUAAGAACCGGCCUUCAGUCUGUGGCGUGUGUGGUGGGGAAAUGGUGGAGGCAUUGGCAAGUAUAUCGGUGGUACAGGACCAGACCAGCUGUCCAAUCUGGGGGAUCCGGUAGCUCUCACACAGUUACUGCAUGAGCUACAUUAAACACUGAAAUCAAAACAGUGUUUAUGUAACAAGUGUUGAAUUUCAUGUUGUAUAUUUACAUAAAAUCUGAUUAGUUCCCAUGCCUGAUAUUACUGUACAUUCCUUUUGUUGUAUGUGCCCUUUUUAAUGUCACAUUUCCUUCUCUUUCUGCAUUCCUCCUAGGUAAUUGGAACAUUGUCCCAUGAAAGUCAUAAUCCUGUGUGUUAAAACAGAUAGUUUAUAUUGCUACUAACAUUGUAAUAUUAUGGUCUUCUACCAGUACAUUGUGAUAUUUAUGGAUUUCAUGCAUUUAUGAACUUUAUCUGUUGAUUUGUGAAUGCUGUACAUGCUAGCUAGCUACAGUACAUCACCUACAAUUCGUCAUUGGGCUAGCAUGGCUAUUCAUGUCUCCGGUUGUUCAUUUAUACUUUACAGAGGAGUUGGUGAAUACGGACAGCACAACAUUUAAUUUAUGGAUGUUGUUUGUUUAUCCCGUAUGUCAUGUGUUUUUGUUUGUUAUUUAGACAACAUUUUACUGUUUGUUUGCAAGUGCACGUCAUACACUAACUCUACGUAAUGCUUGGCUGUCAUUUAUGAAAGUUGGCUAGCCCAGUCCCAUAGGCUAUACUCUACAUUGCAUCAUUAUCAAACGAGACAAAUGUUAUUCUUAUUUUCACACUGUCUAUUGUAUCCAUGUGGAAGUGAGGAGUUGGUGCGCGAGGGCAGCUCAACAUUUAGUUUAUGAAUGUGGUUGGUUUCUUUUAUCAGAAUAAAACAUCAACCCUGA